GGAGUCUGGGCCGUAUCUCAGUCCCAAUGCGUCCGGUCGCCCUCUCAGGCCGGACACCCGUCGUCGCCUUGGUGGGCUUUUGCUCCGCCAACAAGCUGAUGGGACGCGGGCCGCUCCCCCGGCGGGGCCGAAGCCCCUUUGAUGCAGGGCCUCCAAGCCCUGCAUGCCAUCCGGCAUUACCCCGUGUUUCCACGGGCUGUUCCCGUCCGGGGGGCGCGUCGCCCACGCGCUCCUCGCCAGUCCGCCGCUCUCAUGGGGAGCAAGCUCCCCAAUCCCGCUCGACUUGCAUGCUUAAGACGCGCCGCCAGCGUUCGUU
RNAcentral lists this ribosomal RNA (316 nucleotides) under uncultured Treponema sp. Its description in RNAcentral is "partial 16S ribosomal RNA". The record is from RNAcentral. Lineage: Bacteria; Pseudomonadati; Spirochaetota; Spirochaetia; Treponematales; Treponemataceae.